UGGGGAAUAUUGGGCAAUGGACGCAAGUCUGACCCAGCAACGCCGCGUGAAGGAAGAAGGCUUUCGGGUUGUAAACUUCUUUUAAGGGGGAAGAGCAGAAGACGGUACCCCUUGAAUAAGCCACGGCUAACUACGUGCCAGCAGCCGCGGUAAUACGUAGGUGGCAAGCGUUGUCCGGAUUUACUGGGUGUAAAGGGCGUGCAGCCGGAGAGACAAGUCAGAUGUGAAAUCCACAGGCUCAACCUGUGAACUGCAUUUGAAACUGUUUCCCUUGAGUAUCGGAGAGGUCAUCGGAAUUCCUAGUGUAGCGGUGAAAUGCGUAGAUAUUAGGAAGAACACCAGUGGCGAAGGCGGAUGACUGGACGACAACUGACGGUGAGGCGCGAAAGCGUGGGGAGCAAACAGG
Molecule: ribosomal RNA, 406 nt
Filed under: uncultured bacterium
Lineage: Bacteria
Description: bacterial SSU rRNA
Rfam family: Bacterial small subunit ribosomal RNA
Source: RNAcentral